This 829-nucleotide ribosomal RNA is filed under the name marine metagenome. Its description in RNAcentral is "bacterial SSU rRNA". It matches the Rfam family "Bacterial small subunit ribosomal RNA", at positions 8 to 811 of the family's 1533-position model. The record is from RNAcentral.
AGAGUUUGAUCCUGGCUCAGGACGAACGCUGGAGGUAUGCCUCAUACAUGCAAGUCGAACGAGAUUCGAUAGAGCUUGCUCUAUUGAUGAGAGUGGCGCACGGGUGAGUAACGCGUGGGUAACCUGCCUCGAAGUUUGGGAUAACACUGGGAAACCAGUGCUAAUACCGACUAAUUUUUAUUACUGUAUGGUGAUUUAAUAAAAGAUGCCCUCUUCUAUGGUAUCGCUUCGAGAGGGGCCUGCGUCCUAUUAGCUAGUUGGUGGGGUAACAGCCUACCAAGGCGAAGAUGGGUAGCCGGCUUGAGAGAGUGAUCGGCCACACUGGAACUGAGACACGGUCCAGACUCCUACGGGAGGCAGCAGUAGGGAAUAUUCCGCAAUGGGCGAAAGCCUGACGGAGCAAUACCUCGUGAGUGAUGAAGGCUUUAGGGUCGUAAAGCUCAGUCAGCAGGGAAGAAGGGCUAUGGUUCGAAUAGGGCUAUAGUUUUGACGGUACCUGCAGAGGAAGCCACGGCUAAUUACGUGCCAGCAGCCGCGGUAAUACGUAAGUGGCAAGCGUUGUCCGGAUUUACUGGGCGUAAAGAACGCGUAGGCGGUUUUCUAAGUUGGGGGUGAAAUCCUGAGGCCCAACCUCAGGCCUGCCUCCAAAACUGGAGAACUAGAGUUUCGGAGAGGAAGAUGGUAUUCCAUGUGUAGCGGUGAAAUGCGUAGAUAUAUGGGAGAACACCAAUGGCGAAAGCAGUCUUCUGGACGAAUACUGACGCUGAGGCGUGAAAGCGUGGGUAGCGAACAGGAUUAGAUACCCUGGUAGUCCACGCCGUAAACGAUG